Mauremys mutica (yellowpond turtle) is the source of this 1621-nucleotide long non-coding RNA. RefSeq lists it as uncharacterized. The record is from RefSeq and is a predicted model, not a curated record. Lineage: Eukaryota; Metazoa; Chordata; Testudines; Geoemydidae. The transcript is spliced from 3 exons.
CCAUUUUCAAUCCGCCGCCGCUUCCUCCUCCCCUCGGGACCGGCGCUGUCGUUAGACGUCAUCCCUCUCUCGGCGCGUUGCAGUGACGCGGCUGGCGGGAAAGUGGCUGCUGCCUGCGUCAUGGGGCUCCCCGGCCACCCGGGCCUGCAGCGCCGCGGCACCAUGGCGGGGGGGAGCUGGGGCUUCCCUGCAGGCGGGGAGCGAUUGUUGUUAUGUGUAUUAGGGUAGGGCCUACAGGCCAGGGCCCCAUUGUGCUAGGCGCUGACCAACAACCUCCCAGCGGGGCCCCCGCCCCGCCCCGCCCCGCGGAGCACACGGGAGCCCUGUGCAACCCCACAGAGCUGCGGGGCCCUUGUGGUCCCCACUGCUGUGCCCGCGGCACGGGGCUCUGCCCUUAGCCGCAGAGACAGCGAUGGGGAGGCAGAACAGUGCUCAAAAAUCACGAGCCAGGCUGCAAAAUCCUACGAUCAACAGCCUGCGGAUGCUGAUGGACCUAUUGAGAGGCACCUAUUGGAGGACCUAUUGAGAGGCACCUCUUUCCCAUUGGCUACAACAAGAGUCCAAAAGGACUGAAUGUUUUGGAAAGAAAUAGAAGAUACACUGGGAUUGAAGUUCAAAUUAGCCCAACCUGGGAAAACCCACUGGCUUUCUGAUGAGCAAUUCUUGGCUGUUGUCUUAAAAUAACUGCAACCAUUAUUACUGGCUUUGGAAAGUAUCCACCAAGAUAGGAAUCUGUCCUUAGUGAGGCUGGUGGACAACGUUUGUUACUUAGUUCAGAGAAGACUAUCGCAGUUCUCUCUCUUGUAAGUCUACUGUUGAAAUCACUUGGGUCAUUAAACAAUGUCAUUCGGGCAUCUUCUACAACAGUAGUAGAUCUUUGUCCAGCAAUAGAAGCCACCCUUGUAUCAAUCAGAGAUAUCAAUUGAAAAUGUACUGCAAGAAGCAAAGACUUCAGUCCAGAGAUAUCAAUUGAAAAUGUACUGCAAGAAGCAAAGACUUCAGUCCAGAAGUUGACUAAUGAAGGUAUUUAUAUUGACUCCUUAAGUGACAAGGACAAGAAGUGUUUGUUAAGCCAGCUGAAAAAGUACACAGACUAGAUUCUUACAAAUCUACAAUAGCCAUUUCUGGAUUCUACUCAACCUUCAUGUAGCUUUUACAGAUGCCUGUCUUAUAAAACACCUACAACUGAGUUGAGUGAGGCACUACCAGCAACGGGCUGCUAUGUGAUCAGGACAGAACAGAAAAUUUUGAACACAGAGUGGAAUAUCAUAUGACAAACGAAAGAAGAUUUAAUUUCAACUUCUUUAUCAUCACUAGUGGUUUGACCCAGUCUUUGUACUAUGUUUCCUAGGAUGAAAGAAGUAGGAAUCCAUCUCUUGCUACUCCCAGUCACAACAGCUACAGUUGAGCACUCUUUUCCCUCAUUGAAUAGAAUUUUGUGUUCUGAAAGAAGUUGCCUUUUCCUGAUCAUGAACAUAUCAUGAAGGACUGGAAGUACCGGACACACAAGAAGACACCAAAGAGUGCAAAAUUACAACAAGAAACCAAGAAGGAUGUUGAUGUAGCGCUUCAUAGUAGGCUUGAGUAGCCAACCUUAAUUUCUGUGAUGAUUUUAAAACAU